GGGCCGGGGGGGUAACGUUUCCGGGCCUUGUACACACCGCCCGUCACACCAUGAGAGUUUGUAACACCCAAAGUCGGUGGGGUAACCUUUUAGGAGCCAGCCGCCUAAGGUGGGACAGAUGAUUAGGGUGAAGUCGUAACAAGGUAGCCGUAGGAGAACCUGCGGCUGGAUCACCUCCUUUCUA
RNAcentral lists this ribosomal RNA (184 nucleotides) under Limosilactobacillus fermentum. RNAcentral's name for it is "Lactobacillus fermentum partial 16S ribosomal RNA". It matches the Rfam family "Bacterial small subunit ribosomal RNA", at positions 1354 to 1533 of the family's 1533-position model. Lineage: Bacteria; Bacillati; Bacillota; Bacilli; Lactobacillales; Lactobacillaceae. The record is from RNAcentral.